CUUCUCCUUUCCCUUGUUUUCUAGCCUAAGGUAAGUCCCUUGUGCUGUCUUGGGUUUCUCUGAGAGCUGAACGUUCUUUAGAGAAUUAUAGUACUGGAGCCAGGUGCAAAUAUUGUCGAGGAGAUCACUGUAUUUGGACAAGAAUGUCUCAUAGCCAAAUUGAAUGGUGGAGUGUGUGGAUUUAAACAGGAAUCUGCCGCUGAAGAGGAAAUCCACACUGGAUGGGACCCAAAUUUCAUCAAAUCAGUUCAGAUGAGCGUUGAGAACAUUGUUGAGCAUGCGGAUAGACAUCCAAAAGAAGCAGAGAAAACUUGCACCACAGUAGAGUGUGAAGUCAUUAAGUGGUAAGCAAUUGUUUCAUGUCAGUUAACAAAAGAUAAAUUGGUCCUGUUCUGGCCCUUUUCCUGCCGCAAUUAAAAGAAUAGUACAGAAAAAGGUUUUUUUUGUCUGUGAGAGCCAAAUUUAUGACCAUCUCCCUGUGGUAGGAAGUUAUGCAAUACAAGUACUGUAAUG
Molecule: long non-coding RNA, 513 nt
Organism: Hemibagrus wyckioides
Lineage: Eukaryota; Metazoa; Chordata; Actinopteri; Siluriformes; Bagridae
Exons: 3
Source: RefSeq, a predicted model, not a curated record